AUAUAGAAAGUCGUACCUGCUCAGUGGAGAACAAAUAACUCUAAACAGCCGCAGUACCCUGACUGUGCAAAGGUAGCAUAAUAAAUUGCCUUUUAAUUAAAGGCUCGAAUGAAUGGUGUGACGAGAGCUUAGCUGUCUCUUUUACAUUAAAUAAAAAUUAACUUUUAGGUGCAGAGGCCUAGAUAAUAUUGAAAGACGGAAAGACCCUGUUGAGCUUUACGUGUAAGUUUAAUUAUUAAUUAAAAAUAUCAUGUUUAGUUGGGGCAACAGAAGAACAUAACUACCUUCUUUUUAGGUAAAUAAAUUUAUAGAUUUAUUGAUCCACUAAAUUGUGAUCAAAAGAAAAGUUACCACAGGGAUAACAGCGUAAUCUUUUUAGAGAGCUCCUAUUGAAAAAAAGGUUUACGACCUCGAUGUUGGAUUAAGAGUGCUAUUAGGUGUAGAAGCUGAUAUAAGCUGGUCUGUUCGACC
RNAcentral lists this ribosomal RNA (471 nucleotides) under Lepidopleurus cajetanus. RNAcentral's name for it is "partial 16S ribosomal RNA". It matches the Rfam family "Bacterial large subunit ribosomal RNA", at positions 1843 to 2586 of the family's 2925-position model. Lineage: Eukaryota; Metazoa; Mollusca; Polyplacophora; Lepidopleurida; Lepidopleuridae. The record is from RNAcentral.